Molecule: long non-coding RNA, 1188 nt
Organism: Vitis riparia (riverbank grape)
Lineage: Eukaryota; Viridiplantae; Streptophyta; Magnoliopsida; Vitales; Vitaceae
Exons: 2
Source: RefSeq, a predicted model, not a curated record
AUUUUGUAUCCUGUGCGUGGGCUGGACUGGUAGGAAAUAUCGGGAAAUAUCCCGAAAAAUCGGUAAAAUACCUAUAAAUACCGAAAUAUUGGCGAUAUUUUCGAAAAUUUUCCGAAAUUUCCAUAGACCGAUAACCUGUGACGAAUAUUGUGUAUUUUUCGACAUUUCAAUCCUGGCAGCUAGGUGGGUAAAGGUAAUUUUCCGUCUUUACUUCUUGGUGGGUAAAAGUUGUUUUCUAUAUUUACUUCUACCUGUUUCUCUGUUGCCGGUCAGAACACUUGCAGGGGAAUCAAGUUGGGCUUUAAAUAACAGAGUUGAUGAGGACUUCAAGCUGCAUGCUCAAAUUCUCACAUUUUGCCCUCCUCUCCUCCUAUAAAUAGAGGAGGGAGAGCGACCUCAAUAUUCCACCCAACUGCAAUUCAUUUGCAUAAUGUUGGCCUUCUCAAGCAGAGGGUGGCACCGAUGAUGAGGAAAUGAACUAUUUAUUUAAGAAAGAAGUAUGUGUUAACAUCGGAGUUCAAGAAAAAGCCCCUGGGGAAGUAGGAGAAAGAGUCAUGUGAACAUAUCUCCUACGGUGGAUAGUAUUAGCUUCAUUCUCUAUUAUUUCUGCUCUUUCACUCAUUGCUUCUGUUAUUGUUUGUUUCUUGAUUUUGCAGUGUGAUAGGUGCGAGCAGGGGAUUAUCUCACUGGUCCCGGACAUGGACGCCCACUGAGGGGAGAUGAUUUUAUAGACGUGCAUGGUGUUCGAUUGUGAUGGAAUCCUUCGGUGAACUACUCUUUUAACGGUGGAUGGUCCGUCAUAACGGCUGUUAAAAGAGUAGUCCACCGGGAGGAUUCCAUUACAAUCGGACACCAUUAAUGGCACGUCUGUAAAAUCAUCCCCUCAAUGGGCGUCCAUGUCCGGGGCCUAGUGAGAUUGUCCCUUGCCGCUCGCACCUAUCACACUGCAAAACUAAGAAACAAACAAUAACAGAAGUAAUGUUGUCGUUGAUGGGGAGUAUAUUGAAAUCAACCUGCGAGAAGCCAAGUUCGAACCAACAAUGGAUGACAGAAUGCUUGGUUUUUAGUUUAGGCAAUUUCUGAUUGUUUUCAGUUAACUAGGUCGUUUAUGUUUUUCCUUUCUGUUCCCUCUCUGUUUGUAAUCCCUUUUCUAUCAUCAGUAUCAAACGUUUCGUCGUUCCAACCCAA